RNAcentral lists this transfer RNA (73 nucleotides) under Fibrobacterales bacterium. RNAcentral describes it as "tRNA-Ala". It matches the Rfam family "tRNA". Rfam says of the family: Transfer RNA (tRNA) molecules are approximately 80 nucleotides in length. Their secondary structure includes four short double-helical elements and three loops (D, anti-codon, and T loops). Lineage: Bacteria; Pseudomonadati; Fibrobacterota; Fibrobacteria; Fibrobacterales. The record is from RNAcentral.
GGGCUCUUAGCUCAGUUGGUAGAGCGAUAGGUUCGCAAUCUAUAGGUCAGGAGUUCGAAUCUCCUAGGGUCCA